This 320-nucleotide ribosomal RNA is filed under the name uncultured eukaryote. RNAcentral's name for it is "partial 18S ribosomal RNA". It matches the Rfam family "Eukaryotic small subunit ribosomal RNA", at positions 1470 to 1796 of the family's 1831-position model. The record is from RNAcentral.
CCCUUAGAUGUUCUGGGCCGCACGCGCGCUACACUGAACAGUUCAACAAGUCUUAACCUUGGCCGAUAGGUCUGGGUAAUCUUUGAACGCUGUUCGUGAUUGGGAUAGACCUUUGCAAUUAUGGGUCUUCAACGAGGAAUUCCUAGUAAACGCAAGUCAUCAGCUUGCGUUGAUUACGUCCCUGCCCUUUGUACACACCGCCCGUCGCACCUACCGAUUGAAUGGUCCGGUGAAAUCUCGGGACGGCGGCUUGGUCGCUUGCGUCCGACUGCUGAAACUUGAUUAAACCAUAUCAUUUAGAGGAAGGUGAAGUCGUAACA